Tympanuchus pallidicinctus (lesser prairie-chicken) is the source of this 3464-nucleotide RNA transcript. It is a transcript of the gene named testis expressed metallothionein like protein, with no coding region annotated. NCBI's taxonomy places the organism in Eukaryota, Metazoa, Chordata, Aves, Galliformes, Phasianidae. The record is from RefSeq and is a predicted model, not a curated record. The transcript has 8 exons.
AAUUCUAUUUGAAGCCUGAAUGCCAUGAAUGCUGCAACGUGAACAGUUGCAAAGUUGUUCUUAAGCUAAAAGCAUCUGUGUUGGCUUGGUGGCUUUUCAGGACCGAAACAGCUGCUUCAGUGUUGUAUUUUUCAGUUUCGUGUUAAUUGAGUUAAUCUUCAGUACUGCGCAUACUUGUUUGGUCAAGACUUAUUUCAUUCCCUUUUAGGAUAUCUAAAUUAUCUGGAAGAAUAGUGGGAUAGAAAAAUUAAUGAUCUUCAAGUAAAUAAGACACACCUGACUGUCUGCCUGUGACUAUGGAGAAUCAAAUAUUGUUUGACAUAAGAUCAGCUACAGAUGAUGGAUUUCUAACUGAAAUAUUACAUCAGAAUGUUCUUGAUAGUUCUGAAAACUUCAGUUUGGAAACCACCGUAAUUAAUAAUCCUGUUGAAGAAGGAUUGCCAUCCAGUCAAGGCAAUCAGUUAUACGCUAUAAAUGUGGAAGAGUCUUUGUUGGAUCACUUUGAGAAUCCUCUUUCCACGGAAAAUCAGAAUACAAUAGCAGUUGAAAUAUAUCCACAUGGAAACAAUACCUGCGACAAUGAAGAUCUUGAAAAAUACAAAGCAUUAAAUCUUCCAGAAGAAGCUGAUUAUACGCAUUCACCUUACCUGCCUUCAGAUGGUGACCAUUUCCUUUCUUCUGUAGUGACACAGCAUAAAAAUGGCAGUGUUCCAACUUCAAGUGUUUUCUCUUCAGCAGGAGCAGUCAAUCAAAAUGUUGGAGCCGUACCUGCGUUCAGAUCAUUAAUGCCUCCAGCUGAAGAUGAAAACUGUAUUUAUUAUGAUCAGUUUAAAGGAAUCCAAAACAGUCCUAUGCAGUCAAAAAACUUGCCAGAUUGCUUUAAUGAAUGCUUCAGUGGUGUCUACGGCUUGCCUCAGACUAGUGCUUCUGUCUAUGAUGAAAUAACUGAAGUAAGAGAUGCAAUUAGAAAUGUUACGGAGAAUCACGAGGACGGAGCAAUGUUUCAGAGUUCAAAUACUGACGAGUCUAACUGCGAGUUAUUAGCACUGCAUGGUGUGACAGAGGAAUCUGGAUAUUUACACAGAAAUUAUUCCAGCCCCCUGAUGAUCUGCCAGCUGGACGGAGGUACUCAAAUGUUCUGUAUAAAGGAUUGUGGCACACAGGAUCUAAAAGCAAUACAUCUCAUUCCACAGUAUGAAGACCAACGUCAUUAUCUUCAAUCUGAUGUGGGCAGCCCUGUAACAGCUGUACUGGGGCAGCUUUUGCCUGUUUCAGGUAACCUGGAUUCGAACAAACAAGAGGUAAAGCAGCUUUAUUCUUGUCACGUAUAAAGCACAGUAUAAAUUUUCCUUUUCUUAAAAUAGGUUCUUGUGUCUAAUGGCAGGAGGUAACAAUUGUAUGCAUUUUCUAAAUUCAUUUUAGCUAGCUUAGGCAGGUCAGUUUUACAAUCCUGCAUGCUUCCUGCGUACAAACUCUCCAAUUUGAGAAUUUUCUAUAAGUAAUAACAGAAUUUAAAAGUGCAAUUCCAAUUUUUCAGACUCAAAUUUGGUAUUUAUAUAAAUUACAUUAUUUCUGAGAACCAUUCUGUAACUCUUUUGAGAGGUGGAAGGAAACACAUUGACUUUUACCAGAAUGAGAACGUUUUCUUCCAGUAGGAUUCCUUGCUCUGUAUUUGUUGAGUAGGACCUAAUAGUCAGUAAGUCUUUAUCAUUUUCUCAAUUAUUAUUUGCUAAUGGAGUGAUAGAACUGUAUUUCAAUUUAUUUUUAAAAAUGAAAACAGAAGACUAAAAAUCUUUGUAGGUGUUUGAUUUCUCUUGUCAUUUCCAACAGAGCUGGUAGCAAAAAUCAUUGCAAAUGUUUACCUGUUAACUUCUGAUUUGUGUUAAAUGAAUGUAAUGUCAGUGCAAACACAGCAGAUGGUUUGUGGGUAACAGCCACCCUCGUAAAAGAGGAAAUUAAAAACCCAAGAGCCAGAUGGAGCAAUGAACUAUAGAGUCUUUCAUCACUAAAAGUAGAGUACUGACAAAUUGGUGUCUAAAUUUUCUAGAGAUGUAGACAGCACUGCAGUUCUCUCUCUGAUUUUAUCCCCAGCCUGUUGUUCCUUGGAUUUCUUCUCUUGCUUUAAAGAUAUUAAUUUUCUUCUUCCUUAUUGGCAGCUAGGUUGAUAACUAGUUAAAAUAGCUAUUAUUUACAAGUACUCACAGCACUUCCUUGUACCUGUUUUACUAGGCUAUUAUAUCAUAGAAUCACAGAAUGGCCUGGGUUGAAAAGGACCACAAUGAUCAUUUAGCUCCAACCCCCUGCUAUAUGCAGGGCCAACCAGCAGACCAGGCUGCCCAGAGCCACAUCCAGCCUGGCUUUGAAUGCCUCCAGCGAUGGGGCAUCGACAGCCUCCUUGGGCAACCUAUUCCAGUGUGACACCACCUUCUGUGUGAAAACCUUCCUCCUAAUAUCUAACUUAAACUUCCCCUGUCUCAGUUUAAUACCAUUCCCCUUGUCCUAUCACUAUCCACCCUCGUAAACAGCCGUUCCCCCUCCUGUUUAUACGCUCCCUUCAAGUACUGGAAGGCCACAAUGAGGUCUCCCUGGAUCCUUCUCCAAGCUAAACAAGCCCAGUUUCCUCAACCUUUCCUCAUAGGAGAGGUGCUCCUGCCCUCUGGUGGCCCUCCUCUGGACCCUCUCUGUCUGAAGAGAAAAUAGAUCUGCGUUCCGUUUCGAUGGCCUUUUGAACAUGAAUACUUACAAUCAGUAGCUAGCACUUCCACUUUCCAACCAGAAUCGAAUCUGCAAGUGGAAAUGACUUCAGCUGGGUAAGAUGCUUGCAACGCUUAGUCCAUUAUGAGCUUUGAAUUUUAUACUGGCAAAGACUCUUAGACAGUUUGUGUAAUAUAGCUGCUUCUCACACAAUUUGGCAAGAGUGAUUUGUGUACUCAUCUUGGUAGCCAUUAUUCCAUUUACUGGUGGUCAAGGCUUCCAGGAUUUCUUAGGAUCAAUGCAACUGUGCUGUAAAUGUGUCCUAAAAGCAUUUAAUUUUCGGAGUUAAUUGAUAUGUUUUAAAAUGUAAUUAACAUGUGUUUAGCUUGUAUUUCUUACAAUAAUGGGAUUCUUUUAAUAAACCUUAAUUGCAGAUGGUUUUUAAAUGCAAGGCAGAUGCGAGCCCGGUGUGACAAAUGAGAGUGCUUUGCAGUUGUGCUGCAGUUACUGGGUUCUGAGUGGUUGCUGACCUGCCCCUAGGAAUGACCACUGGUGGAUCACAUGAGGGGGGGGGGAGAAUCUUACAAAGUUUCAAAAGUAUAGACCAAUCCAUGAUUUGUAUAUUUAUUUUCUUAUUUUCUUCCUCUUUCAACCUGGGUAGCCAACCUUUUAGUUCGGGGAUUACGAAGUCUAAGAAACCAUGUAACUGCACAAAAUCUCAGUGUCUUAAACUAUAUUGUGAAUGCUUUGCCAGUGGUGACUUUUGCAAC